GAAGCAGGCAGGGACGGAGAGGGGUGAUGGCGCGCCCACCCCUGCAGAGCCGCCUGCGCGGUUGUCCCGCGCGUCCCUGCCGGCGAAGGCUGUGAGAAGCACCGCGGGGCUACGGCGCCUCCAUCCUCUCUAACAGCCGCGCUUACCAGACAGCCAGCCUCCAGUGCUGCUAGGCUACUCCGAGCAGGGGAGAAAAGACACCGGUCCGCCGGGGACCAGGAGGGAGACGUGAAACCAGAGGCCCGGGGGCCCCCUCUCCGCCUGUGCGACUUGUAGUCUCGUACCAGACGCGUCCGCUUCGCUGCUGAAUCUGAAAACGUGGGCUCUUGAGAGCUGCCCUUGGAAGGAGCUGUGCUUUCUGCCUCAUCUUUAACUUUUCGUUUAUUCAGCAAAUAUGUAUCAAGUUCCGACUUCGUGGAAGAGAUUGUGUUAGACACUGGGAAUAAUAGAAACAUAAUUAAGAAGCAGGGGUCCCGGACCUGAAGGGCCUGAGCGUCGGGAAUUGGCUGAAGUAAUUAUGUAGGCUGAGAAGUCCCAGAAUCUGCAGUUCACAAGCUGGAGACCCAGGAGAGCCAAUAUGUCAUUUCAGUUCAAGUCCAAAGGCUGGAGAACCAGAAGAGCUGAUGGUUUAUUUCCCGUCUGAAAGCAAACAGGGUGGAGACCCAAGGAAAACAAAUGACUGAGUCCUACUGGGAAGGCUAGAAAAGAUGACGUCCCAAGUCAAUCAGUCUGGUGGGAGCAGUUUCCUCCUACUGAGACUUUUUUCCUAUUCAGGCCUUCGAUUGACUG
RNAcentral lists this long non-coding RNA (789 nucleotides) under Pan troglodytes (chimpanzee). Its description in RNAcentral is "long non-coding RNA NONPTRT017153". Lineage: Eukaryota; Metazoa; Chordata; Mammalia; Primates; Hominidae. The record is from RNAcentral.